RNAcentral lists this ribosomal RNA (468 nucleotides) under uncultured bacterium. RNAcentral's name for it is "partial 16S ribosomal RNA". It matches the Rfam family "Bacterial small subunit ribosomal RNA", at positions 28 to 507 of the family's 1533-position model. The record is from RNAcentral.
GACGAACGCUGGCGGCGUGCUUAACACAUGCAAGUCGAACGGAAAGGCCCUGCUUUUGUGGGGUGCUCGAGUGGCGAACGGGUGAGUAACACGUGAGUAACCUGCCCUUGACUUUGGGAUAACUUCAGGAAACUGGGGCUAAUACAGGAUAGGAGCUCCUGCUGCAUGGUGGGGGUUGGAAAGUUUCGGCGGUUGGGGAUGGACUCGCGGCUUAUCAGCUUGUUGGUGGGGUAGUGGCUUACCAAGGCUGUGACGGGUAGCCGGCCUGAGAGGGUGACCGGCCACAUUGGGACUGAGAUACGGCCCAGACUCCUACGGGAGGCAGCAGUGGGGAAUAUUGCACAAUGGGCGGAAGCCUGAUGCAGCAACGCCGCGUGCGGGAUGACGGCCUUCGGGUUGUAAACCGCUUUCGCCUGUGACGAAGCGUGAGUGACGGUAAUGGGUAAAGAAGCACCGGCUAACUACGUG